This 321-nucleotide ribosomal RNA is filed under the name uncultured eukaryote. RNAcentral's name for it is "partial 18S ribosomal RNA". It matches the Rfam family "Eukaryotic small subunit ribosomal RNA", at positions 1470 to 1796 of the family's 1831-position model. The record is from RNAcentral.
CCCUUAGAUGCUCUGGGCCGCACGCGCGCUACACUGACCGAUGCAACGAGUUUCUUUCCUUGGCCGACAGGCCCGGGCAAUCUUUGAACAUCGGUCGUGAUGGGGAUAGAUUCUUGUAAUUUUUGAUCUUCAACGAGGAAUUCCUAGUAAACGCAAGUCAUCAGCUUGCAUUGAUUACGUCCCUGCCCUUUGUACACACCGCCCGUCGCACCUACCGAUUGAAUGGUCCGGUGAAAUCUCGGGACGGCGGCUUGGUCGCUUGCGUCCGACUGCUGAAACUUGAUUAAACCAUAUCAUUUAGAGGAAGGUGAAGUCGUAACA